ACACCACCGGAGAGUAUUUGCAACAAUUUAGGGCUCAUUCAGGGUCUUACGGUCUUACGGUCACACGGUCACACGGUCACCUGGAGGGACCGUGGGACCGUAAGAACCCGGCUCGGAAGAAAAGCGCCCCGCUGCCGCCUUACGGUGGCCUCGGAGAGGGGCUUCUGAGACCCCUAGGCUGACUGUGGACUCAGAACCGGAAGUUGAUCAGCAACGCAGGGGAAGGGCUCAGGCAAGCACGGCGGCGAACAGUUUCAGGGACUAUUGGCUCAGACCCCACCUCUUGAAUUUCUGGUACACCCUCAUCAACCUGGUGUCCACGUCCUGGUAAAGACAUGGAAGGAAGACAAAGUUGAGCCAGCUUGGGAAGGACCUUAUCAGGUGCUGCUUGCGACUGAAACAGCUGUUCACACCACAGAGAAAGGUUGGACUUAUUACACUCGAGUUAAGGGAGCUCCAUCUCCUGACCAAGAGGAACAAUGGGCUGUGAUCCCAGACCCCGACACCACAAAAUGAACCCUGAAAAGACUCUGAUCAUACUUACAGCCCUGUUAGGGGGAGUAAAUUGUAUUUUUACCAUCAAUGUAACUCAGAGUACCUCUCCUGUAACCAUUAAGUUUGAUGCAUGUGUAGUUUUACCGUGUGGAAAUUUGAACUCCCAGAGGCAAUUACAAGUCAGGCGCCCUUCUGCAGAAGUAGUUAGCCUUACCAAGCCAUUUUUGAGUUUCUGUUUCCUUCUCACGACACCACCAGAGAGUAUUCCCAACACAGGUAAGAAGGUAAGAGUUCAAAAUGGGAACAAGGAUUUUUGGGGUGGUGGUGGGAGAACUGGGUGAUUUGUUUGUUUUUUGUUGUUGUUGUUUUUUGUUGCUAUGCAUUUACUCAAUUCCUAAGUACUUAAACAUAUUUGG
Long non-coding RNA from Molossus molossus (Pallas's mastiff bat), 911 nucleotides. RefSeq lists it as uncharacterized. The record is from RefSeq and is a predicted model, not a curated record. The transcript is spliced from 3 exons. NCBI's taxonomy places the organism in Eukaryota, Metazoa, Chordata, Mammalia, Chiroptera, Molossidae.